RNAcentral lists this unclassified non-coding RNA (305 nucleotides) under plant metagenome. Its description in RNAcentral is "partial contains 5.8S ribosomal RNA, internal transcribed spacer 2, and large subunit ribosomal RNA". The stretch from base 1 to 105 matches the Rfam family "5.8S ribosomal RNA", at positions 50 to 154 of the family's 154-position model. The record is from RNAcentral.
GAAAUGCGAUAAGUAGUGUGAAUUGCAGAUUUCAGUGAAUCAUCGAAUCUUUGAACGCACAUUGCGCCCUUUGGUAUUCCUUAGGGCAUGCCUGUUCGAGCGUCAUCUAAACCUUCAAGCCCUGCUUGGUGUUGGGUGCCUGUCCCGCCUCCGCGCGCGGACUCACCUCAAAUCCAUUGGCGGCCCCCGCGUCGGCCACGAGCGCAGCAGAAACGCGAACUCGUGAGCCCGUCCGGGCGGCUCCCAGAAGCUACACCCACCCAGUUUGACCUCGGAUCAGGUAGGGAUACCCGCUGAACUUAAGC